UUCGGAUCGGAGUCUGCAACCCGACUCCGUGAAGCUGGAUUCGCUAGUAAUCGCGCAUCAGCCAUGGCGCGGUGAAUACGGUUCCCGGGCCUUGUACACACCGCCCGUCAAGCCAUGGGAGCCGGGGGUACCUGAAGUCCGUAACCGAAAGGAGCGGCCUAAGGUAAAACUGGUGACUGGGGCUAAGUCGUAACAAGGUAUC
This 202-nucleotide ribosomal RNA is filed under the name uncultured bacterium. RNAcentral describes it as "partial 16S ribosomal RNA". It matches the Rfam family "Bacterial small subunit ribosomal RNA", at positions 1292 to 1500 of the family's 1533-position model. The record is from RNAcentral.